UUAAGCUAAAUAAGCAUGCAACACAUGAACACUAAAAAAAAAAUUGAAACAACAGGUAGAGAUAACAUAGUGCAGUGUACCCUAAAUAUGGGGGAAAGAAGUUAAGGCCCAUUUGGAUAGAUAAGGAUUUAAAAUGCAAGGGUAGUUAAAUAAUAAUAUUCACAAUGAAAAGGAAAAACUUGGUAUUAUGCUUUGACCUUCUAAAAAUUGGCUCCUGAUCUGCUAAAACAAGGAACUUCACCCAGUUGAUGGCAGAGUCACAAAAAUUCAAGUUGAAAGUUCUCAAGAAGCUAGAUUGCAUGGAAUCCAUACAAAGUUAACUUAUGCUUCAUCAUAUUCAAACAGGAAAAGGCAAUAUUAAUUCGUUAAUAUACCACG
Molecule: unclassified non-coding RNA, 378 nt
Filed under: Hevea brasiliensis (rubber tree)
Lineage: Eukaryota; Viridiplantae; Streptophyta; Magnoliopsida; Malpighiales; Euphorbiaceae
Source: RNAcentral